GAUGAACGCUAGCGGCAGGCUUAACACAUGCAAGUCGAGGGGCAGCGCGAUGUAGCAAUACAUUGGCGGCGACCGGCGCACGGGUGCGUAAUACGUAUGGAACUUACCCUUUACUGGGAGAUAGCCCGGAGAAAUCCGGAUUAAUAUCCCAUAAUAAACGAAGUGGCAUCACUUUGUUUUGAAAGCUCCGGCGGUAAAGGAUGGCCAUGCGCACGAUUAGCUAGUAGGUGGGGUAACGGCUCACCUAGGCUACGAUCGUUAGGGGGCCUGAGAGGGUUAUCCCCCACACUGGUACUGAGACACGGACCAGACUCCUACGGGAGGCAGCAGUGAGGAAUAUUGCGCAAUGGAGGCAACUCUGACGCAGCCAUGCCGCGUGCAGGAAGAAGGCGCUACGCGUUGUAAACUGCUUUUAACCGGGAAGAAACCCUCCGACGUGUCGGAGGUUGACGGUACCGGAGGAAUAAGCACCGGCUAACUUCGUGCCAGCAGCCGCGGUAAAGUC
Molecule: ribosomal RNA, 505 nt
Filed under: uncultured bacterium
Lineage: Bacteria
Description: bacterial SSU rRNA
Rfam family: Bacterial small subunit ribosomal RNA
Source: RNAcentral